GAUUAUAUACUCCCAUUUGAGAGUGGUCUUGACUGAUAUAUGAUAAUUUGAUUCUAAUGAUAGGAUAGUAAGAUCUCAAUUCAGUCUUGUUUUCACUUGUAUGAUUCUAAUGAUACACAAUUGUUUCAGGUCAUCUCCUUGUGUUUUGCUUGUACUCUAAAACUCGAAGCUCCAUCCAACAGGAUAUUAGAGGACAACACGGAAAACAUUGAAGCCCCUCUUUUAUCGUAAGCAUUAACAAAAACUUGCCAACAUGUAUGGCGUGCUUAUUAAACUAGAUUAUACGAUGUUGGAUGAUAUCGAGUAAAAAAAUAAGUUAUAAUUUUAUCCAUCGUAUUUUGUAAUCCAGUCUCGUGUACCAUACAUGACUAAAUUAUAGUUAACUAAUGGUGUCACAAGGAAAGUUUUUCUUCCUCAUUUUUCAAGAGUUGUACAUGUGGAUGAGGUAGUUAUAUGUAGAUUUUUUGGGAAUGUUUCCGCACACAUAUUUGCGGUUUAUGUAAAAUUUCUUUUUCUUUGUAUGAUGCUCCUUGCAUUUUUUAAUUUGACGUGGACUAAAAUUUAAACAAAUGUGUUUACUCUAUGAUAGAUUAAGGUUUUAAAUGAAGUUAUUCAGUAUAAUAUUAGAGCAAGAUAAAAUUUUGGAUUCAAGUGUAACCUCAACUCAUCUAUGAAAAUUGUGCUUGUGUGAAGUAUAUAUUUGUGUAAAUUGGAUAAAAAUGUUAAAUCUCGCUGCUGGUGAAUGGUUAUGUUAAGUAUAUAUUUUAAUAAUUAAAAGAAACUACUCCAAAAAGUUGGAAGGUAUAUUUAAUUUAGAUUUUCAAAUACUUUUAGACUAGAGGCUUAAUUCAUAAGAAAAUCAACUUGUCAAACUCUUUCUCCUUCACUAAGAAAUGG
This 897-nucleotide long non-coding RNA is filed under the name Olea europaea (common olive). RNAcentral's name for it is "long non-coding RNA (OEUR_LNC015143)". Lineage: Eukaryota; Viridiplantae; Streptophyta; Magnoliopsida; Lamiales; Oleaceae. The record is from RNAcentral.